Molecule: ribosomal RNA, 123 nt
Filed under: Octodon degus (degu)
Lineage: Eukaryota; Metazoa; Chordata; Mammalia; Rodentia; Octodontidae
Source: RNAcentral
GUCUACAGCCAUACCACCCUGAACGUGCCCGAUCUCGUCCGAUCUUGGAAGCUAAGCAGGGCCAGGCCUGGUUAGUACUUGGAUGGGAGUACUUGGAUGGGAAAUUUAAAGGAUGAGUAAGUU